RNAcentral lists this ribosomal RNA (254 nucleotides) under uncultured bacterium. RNAcentral describes it as "partial 16S ribosomal RNA". It matches the Rfam family "Bacterial small subunit ribosomal RNA", at positions 524 to 776 of the family's 1533-position model. The record is from RNAcentral.
UACGUAGGGGGCGAGCGUUGCCCGGAUUUAUUGGGCGUAAAGAGCUCGUAGGCGGCUUGGCAAGUCGGGUGUGAAACCUCCAGGCUCAACCUGGAGACGCCACUCGAUACUGCUAUGGCUAGAGUCCGGUAGGGGACCACGGAAUUCCUGGUGUAGCGGUGAAAUGCGCAGAUAUCAGGAGGAACACCGGUGGCGAAGGCGGUGGUCUGGGCCGGCACUGACGCUGAGGAGCGAAAGCGUGGGUAGCAAACAGG